AGAUGCGAUCAUACCAGCCCUAAAGCAUCGGAUCCCAUCAGAACUACGCAGUUAAGGGUGCUUGGGCAAGAGUAGUACUAGGAUGGGUGACCUCCAGGAAAGUCCUCGUGUUGCAUCCC
Molecule: ribosomal RNA, 119 nt
Filed under: Arabidopsis thaliana (thale cress)
Lineage: Eukaryota; Viridiplantae; Streptophyta; Magnoliopsida; Brassicales; Brassicaceae
Source: RNAcentral